AGUUAAAAAUUUCAUCCAUCUGUAUUCUUAAAAGCUAACUUAGCUGACAAAAUAAUCAAACAAUAACAUGUGAUGUUCUACGUAUACCUUAUACUGAUAUACAAGAACCCUUUUAACAGUAUGAAUAGAUGAAAUUUUUAACA
Molecule: non-coding RNA, 143 nt
Organism: Gossypium raimondii (Peruvian cotton)
Lineage: Eukaryota; Viridiplantae; Streptophyta; Magnoliopsida; Malvales; Malvaceae
Source: Rfam